Pseudonaja textilis is the source of this 148-nucleotide non-coding RNA. The record is from RefSeq and is a predicted model, not a curated record. NCBI's taxonomy places the organism in Eukaryota, Metazoa, Chordata, Lepidosauria, Squamata, Elapidae.
GGACCACACAUUUUGACCAGGAUAAAGCAAUAGACACAAUUUACAUAGACUUCUGCAAAGCCUUUGAUUCAGUGGUGUAUGACAAACUACUGCUGAAACUUAAUUCUUAUGGCAUCUCCAGAUCCCUGCAUUACUGGAUAGAGGCAUU